Molecule: ribosomal RNA, 465 nt
Filed under: uncultured bacterium
Lineage: Bacteria
Description: partial 16S ribosomal RNA
Rfam family: Bacterial small subunit ribosomal RNA
Source: RNAcentral
CCUACGGGAGGCAGCAGUGGGGAAUAUUGCGCAAUGGGCGAAAGCCUGACGCAGCGACGCCGCGUGAGGGAUGAAGGCCUUCGGAUCGUAAACCUCUGUCAGCAGGGAAGAAAGGCUACUGUGCUAAUCAGCAGUGAAUUGACUGUACCUGCAAAGGAAGCACCGGCUAACUCCGUGCCAGCAGCCGCGGGAAUACGGAGGGGGCGAGCGUUAAUCGGAAUUACUGGGCGUAAAGCGCGCGUAGGCGGUAUGUCAAGUCAAGGGUGAAAUCCCUGGGCUCAACGUGGGAACUGCCGUUGAAACUGGCAAGCUGGAGUGUGUGAGAGGAAAGUGGAAUUCCAGGUGUAGGAGUGAAAUGCGUAGAUAUCUGGAGGAACAUCAGUGGCGAAGGCGACUAACUGGCACAUAACUGACGCUGAGGAGCGAAAGCGUGGGUAGCAAACAGGAUUAGAGACCCCAGUAGUC